This 399-nucleotide ribosomal RNA is filed under the name uncultured bacterium. RNAcentral's name for it is "bacterial SSU rRNA". It matches the Rfam family "Bacterial small subunit ribosomal RNA", at positions 358 to 773 of the family's 1533-position model. The record is from RNAcentral.
GGAAUCUUGCGCAAUGGGCGAAAGCCUGACGCAGCAACGCCGCGUGGGGGAUGAAGGCUCUCGGGUCGUAAACCCCUUUCAGCGGGGACGAUUGUGACGGUACCCGCAGAAGAAGGACCGGCCAACUACGUGCCAGCAGCCGCGGUAAUACGUAGGGUCCAAGCGUUGUCCGGAUUUAUUGGGCGUAAAGAGCUCGUAGGCGGUUUCGUAAGUCGGAUGUGAAAACUCAGGGCUCAACCCGGAGACGCCAUCUGAUACUGCGAUGACUGGAGUCUGGUAGGGGAACACGGAAUUCCUGGUGUAGCGGUGAAAUGCGCAGAUAUCAGGAGGAACACCGAUGGCGAAGGCAGUGUUCUGGGCCAGUACUGACGCUGAGGGACGAAAGCGUGGGGAUCAAAC